Molecule: ribosomal RNA, 253 nt
Filed under: uncultured bacterium
Lineage: Bacteria
Description: partial 16S ribosomal RNA
Rfam family: Bacterial small subunit ribosomal RNA
Source: RNAcentral
UACAGAGGGUGCAAACGUUGUUCGGAAUUACUGGGCGUAAAGCGUGUGUAGGUGGCCAUUCAAGUCGGAUGUGAAAGCCACGGGCUCAACCCGUGAAGUGCAUUCGAUACUGCUUGGCUUGAGUAUCGGAGAGGUUGGUGGAAUUCUCGGUGUAGAGGUGAAAUUCGUAGAUAUCGAGAGGAACAUCGGUGGCGAAGGCGGCCAACUGGACGAAUACUGACACUGAGACACGAAAGCGUGGGGAGCAAACAGG